GAUGAACGCUAGCUACAGGCUUAACACAUGCAAGUCGAGGGGAAACGAUGAGAGAGCUUGCUCUCUUAGGCGUCGACCGGCGCACGGGUGAGUAACGCGUAUCCAACCUACCCAUUACAGGGGGAUAACCUUGCGAAAGUAAGACUAAUACCCCAUGGCAUUUUAUGGUGGCAUCAUUAUAGGAUUAAAGAUUUAUUGGUAAUGGAUGGGGAUGCGUCUGAUUAGCUUGUUGGCGGGGUAACGGCCCACCAAGGCAACGAUCAGUAGGGGUUCUGAGAGGAAGGUCCCCCACAUUGGAACUGAGACACGGUCCAAACUCCUACGGGAGGCAGCAGUGAGGAAUAUUGGUCAAUGGGCGAGAGCUUGAACCAGCCAAGUAGCGUGCAGGAUGACGGCCCUAUGGGUUGUAAACUGCUUUUAUAGGGGAAUAAGGUGAGCUACGUGUAGUUUAUUGCAUGUACCCGAUGAAUAAGGACCGGCUAAUUCCGUG
Molecule: ribosomal RNA, 490 nt
Filed under: uncultured bacterium
Lineage: Bacteria
Description: partial 16S ribosomal RNA
Rfam family: Bacterial small subunit ribosomal RNA
Source: RNAcentral